RNAcentral lists this long non-coding RNA (1550 nucleotides) under Homo sapiens (human). RNAcentral's name for it is "non-protein coding lnc-LRRN1-2:1". The record is from RNAcentral. Lineage: Eukaryota; Metazoa; Chordata; Mammalia; Primates; Hominidae.
AUCUUGAACUAGAAAUACCAUUUGACCCAGCCAUCCCAUACCCAAAAGAUUAUAAAUCAUGCUGCUAUAAAGACACAUGCACACGUAUGUUUAUUGCGGCACUAUUCACAAUAGCAAAGACUUGGAAAGCCUGGUUUCUAAUGAGGUUUUGUUUAGGGUCAUUGCUUUGAUCUUUUAAAACAUUGCACGUUUUCAUCAGUAUAAUUGGUUAUGUGUUGCAAACUAUUAAAGGUGGAAAGAGCAAUUCUUAAAAUUAAACUCUCUCUCCAUUCACCUUCACCUUAUGUAUCCAAGACCUUUAAAGUUCCACCUCCUCUGAGAUGACUUCUCUAAUGAAUCCAACCACAUGGUUUAUUCACAUUAUGUGACAUUAUAUGUGGCCUCUGGCAUGAAACCAUUAGCAAAUAAGCAUGGAUCUAAUUUGUUUUUUUAUAUAUCUCCACCCAAAAUAAAUAAAUAAAUAAACAGAGACAAGGACUUAGGUGCAAGGAGUUUAUUUUGGAGAUACCCCCAGGAAGCAGCAGUUAGGGAAUGGGGAGAUUGAAACAAAGAGGUAGGAAGAAACCAUAAGAGGUGCUGUUAACCACCAUGGGCAAGUGGUGCUCGAUGCAGCUGGGGACUAAUUCUUGAGUGACAGGUAGGAUGUACCUAAGAAUUUCCUUCUAAGGGACAGGAGGUUAAGGAAUCUAUCAUAUUUUCUAGUGGUUGAAGUUUGCCUCUGGAGCAUCAAUUUUCCAAAGUUCUGUGCUACCCAAAAGGCAGAUCAAGCCAGCUCCUGGGCCUUUGGAAAAAGUCUUGAGGCAGAAGUGCAGAGGGGUGGGAGGUGCUUAAAGUGGGAUGACGUCAUUUUGCAUGGGAACUGUCCAGCACAGCUAUAGUGGAAAUUAGUGGUGGAUCAAGAGAUUGUAGCAGAGGGCACAAAAAGUGUCUAUUUCAGCAUAAAAACUGUGUUGUUAAUUAAAAAUAAAAUUUUGUUUAAAAUGAUGUUUUUAACAAUAUCACUGAAGAUAUAAACACUCAUUUCUCUUAGUGUCAUAGAGAGACUGACUGAUCAGCUGACUCAGUCUGAGAAUGCCCAAGUAUUAAAUGAGCACUUGUCGAACACUAGUUGAGCAGUAUGAAGCAAUGCACAAGUUAAAGUCAAGAUGCCCAACUCUCAAGGAGCUUGCAAUCUUACAGGGAUUAUCAACAUUCACAAACAAACUAACACAUAACUGGUAGUUCUGACUACAAAGGCAGAAAAAGUGAGAGACAGCAUCAUGUAGCGGUUAAAAGCUUCCACUCUGGAGUCAGAGAGACCUAGGUUUAAAAUUAAUCUAGGAUUUGCAGUGUGAUCUUGGACAAGGGUCUUAAUCUCUCUGUGUCACAAUUUCUUCAUCUGAUGGUUAGAAAAAUAACUAUCUGCUUCAUGGAGUUGUCUGAAAAGUAAAUGCAAGUAAAGCACUAAUCACAGCACCCGGCACAUAAAUAUUCAUUAAAUGUCAGUUGUUUUGUGAAAAUUAAAGAGAAACGUAACAGUAGAAUGGGAUUUAAAGAAGAGAAGUAUCUCC